AAACACAACAAAGGCUGUCAGCUGAAUGGUGUUUUGAGCUAACGUUAGCAUCGAACAAUCACAGAUAGCUACAGCGUUUCUGAAAUGAUUUCCAUCUUCUGUUGUUGUUUGUAAUGAGAAAACUGGAUUAUUUCAUGGAUUUCACUAUUUUUCAGUAUGACACGUUAUGCCGUAAACCGCUUAAAUCUGAGCAAUGCACGACUCACACUGGGCAGUGUCACCGGGUAUCGCCACUGAUUUCCUGAAUCCAUUCAAGUCCGACUGACAAGAUGCCAGUAUGAUUUCUGAUUUGAUUAGAGAUAUUUCAGUUACAAUACCAGCUUUGCUUGUUUAUGAAAGAGAGUUUUUAGAGAGCUAACGCUGUGAUUUGUACAGAAGAAAACCGCUAACGUGGCGCUUUGUUUAAAGAUCAAUGUUGGGAUUGUGUGAAUGGAUAUCGGAUCAUUCUGACAAAGAUCUAUUUAAAUUCCAGUCCUACUUUAGUGAUGUCAUCUAAACUGAAAUGAGGUGUCCGUUACGUGUUUGGAAAGACAGACUUGCACACAGCCAUAAGAUUGUACAACUG
This is a long non-coding RNA of Etheostoma spectabile (orangethroat darter), 565 nucleotides long. RefSeq lists it as uncharacterized. The transcript is spliced from 3 exons. The record is from RefSeq and is a predicted model, not a curated record. NCBI's taxonomy places the organism in Eukaryota, Metazoa, Chordata, Actinopteri, Perciformes, Percidae.